Molecule: long non-coding RNA, 902 nt
Filed under: Homo sapiens (human)
Lineage: Eukaryota; Metazoa; Chordata; Mammalia; Primates; Hominidae
Description: HSALNT0062995
Source: RNAcentral
AUACUGGAUUCUCGGGGGUAUUUGUUUUUGGAAGUGUUCUUCAUUGCCUGUGUUUCUUGUCACUUUUAUCUGUGGUCUUACUCUAUUUGGUGAAUCGUGCCCAGGUGGGAACCUAAAUUAUUCUGCAAGACAAAGGGAAGAAAUAAAAUUUUCCCAUACUGAUGAGAAGUUAAAAUGAAUGUGUCAUGAGAAUGGGCUUAACACAUCGUUGGUUUGAAAACUUCCAUUUUUAAAAAUUUAGAGUUUAGUCAUUAGAAAAAAUAAUGGACUGGAAAGUUAUAUUUAUAUCCAAAUAUACCUAUUUCAAAGUGUAUUUGUGAGGCCUGUUUUAGCCUGUGUCUUUUGUAUUGUGUGUUGCUAAAGAAUUCUACUUUUAGUAGGCUAAUCAACAAUGAAAGGGUUAGAAAAUUGCUGUGGAACAUCCAGGUGAACUUCAGGAAAGACAGUGAAAAAUGGAAAACGUUGGAGCUUCUGUUGAGAUAAUCUUCAUUAGGUAUAUAUCUUAGGGAUACAGCCUUUUCUUUAUCUUAUAGCAGGAAAAAAAAACUUUUGAGGGAAAUAGAAGGGCUGCGUUACACAAAAUAAACAAUGGCAUUGUCAUAGGCCUUCCUUUUACUAGUAGGGCAUAAUGCUAGGGAAUAUGUGAAGAUGUUUUUAUGAAGUCUCUUUCUGAUCACGAACAAUAGCUUGCGCUCUACUCUGUAGUUAUGUGGAUUGCCGAGCAAUGACCCUUUUCAAUUUCUUAUUUCUGUGUUACUGAGGACCCUAAUCACUUAGGGAUGUAAUUUUAUAGUAUAAACUUUCUGUACAGUUUUUCUUAUAGUCUAAUAAGUAAAAAGUGUCCUUCAAAUUAUGAUAAUUGCCUAUGUACAUGGAUAAAUUAAAACACUGCACACGGAGUA